Helicoverpa zea (corn earworm) is the source of this 860-nucleotide long non-coding RNA. RefSeq lists it as uncharacterized. The transcript is spliced from 2 exons. Lineage: Eukaryota; Metazoa; Arthropoda; Insecta; Lepidoptera; Noctuidae. The record is from RefSeq and is a predicted model, not a curated record.
UCACCGACAAACGUAGGCAUAUCGGUCAAGUACGCGCGGUGAUAGUCGCUAAAUGCGCCGCCAUUUUGUGUUGUUCAAAGUCAUGAUACAUUUGGAGACUUAUUCGACUGAACGAAGAAGUAUGCAGCCGCUCGAAGAAGUAUUCAGUCGAACGAAGAAGUAUACGGCCGAACGAAGAAGUAUUCGAUUGAAAGAAGAAGUAUUCGGCGGAACGAAGCAAUCAACUGAAGGAAGAAGUAUUCAGCCGAAUGAUGAGAUAUUUGGCAGGAAGCAGGAGUUGUUCGCCACAAAAAUAAAUAUGCGGCGGAACAAAUAAAUAAUAAAGAAUUUCAAACCACCAUUAUUCGACCGAAAAAAACGAAUUAUUCGGCCGAAACAAGAUGUAUUCGGCCGAACGAAGGAGUAUUCGGCAGAACGAAGAAGUAUUCGGCAGAACGAAGAAGUAUUUGGCAGAACGAAGAAGUAUUCGGCAGAACGAAGAAGUAUUCAUCCGAACGAAGACGUAUUCGGCCGAACGAAAAAGUAUUCAUCCGAACGAAGAAGUAUUCGAUCGAACGAAGACGUAUUCGGCCGAACGAAGAAGUAUUCAUCCGAACGAAGAAGUAUUCAUCCGAACGAAGAAGUAUUCUAUCGAACGAAGACGUAUUCGGCCGAACGAAGAAGUAUUCGGCCGGACGAAGAAGUAUUCGGCUGAACGAAGAAGUAUUCAACCGAAUGAAGAAGUCUAACUAAACAUAACAACAACAAUAAGGCAUAUUCUGCUUAUGAUUAAUUUCGGCCCAAAUAAUUAGAUUACUAUCUAUAGACACUUUAGCUAACAAUCUUCGAAAAUAGAAACGCACAAUGAAUAAAAAUACAGU